This 1380-nucleotide ribosomal RNA is filed under the name Paenibacillus sp. M_12. RNAcentral describes it as "partial 16S ribosomal RNA". Lineage: Bacteria; Bacillati; Bacillota; Bacilli; Caryophanales; Paenibacillaceae. The record is from RNAcentral.
GGAACUUCUCUUCGAACGAAGAGCCUACCAAUCGCCGCCUGCCCACUCAUUGUGCAUCCGUUGGACGGGAGUUCGAACCCUGUUGAUGGCCUUUGCCAUCGAUUAUGGCUUAUGAACAAAAGAAGCGGACUUCUCUUGACCUUUCUGCCUCGUUAGACAGUGAACCCCUACCCGGACGCCGCGUAAUCGAUCAACCACCCCAUUGCCGAGUGGUUCCGCUGCUACGCAUCGGCUGGACUCUCCCACUAGCCGGUGUGACCCUGACUCUGUGCCGGGUCUGAGGAUGCCCUCCGUCGUCAUCCCUUAGAAGGCGUUACCCGCUUUCGGACUGCCUCGUUACGGCGCACUCACUACUUCCAAAAGCCUAGCAUUUCGAGACAACGGUCCCUUCUUGCGAACCCUCUCAUUGACGAGAGUUCCACUGCCAUGGACUCUUCUUUCGGGGCCGAUUGAUGCACGGUCGUCGGCGCCAUUAUGCAUCCCCCGUUCGCAACAGGCCUUAAUAACCCGCAUUUCGCGCGCGUCCGCCAGUACAUUCAGACCACAAAUUAGGGCCCCGAGUUGGGGCCUAGCGUGACCUUUGACGCACUGAACUCACGUCUUCUCCUCUCACCUUAAGGUGCACAUCGCCACUUUACGCAUCUCUACACCUCCUUGUGGUCACCGCUUCCGCUGAGAGACCCGACAUUGACUGCGACUCCGCGCUUUCGCACCCCUCGUUUGUCCUAAUCUAUGGGACCAUCAGGUGCGGCAUUUGCUACUUACGAUCCACAAUCCCCAAAGCUAUGGGAACCACGGCUUCAAUUGUGUAAUUCGUAAGGCGGACCCCUCAUGCCAGCGUUCUGACUUUGAGUUUCCUUAACUGCCCCUGGGCGUGUUCGUCACCUCAUACACCAAAUUAAGCUUCGUUGCGCUUCUUGGAAUGGUCCAGAACUGUAGGUUGAUUGCUCCGUCUCUACGCAAUCCACGGGAAGCCCCUUUCAACUCUGUCCACCACGUACCAACAGCAGUCGAGCACAGCACUCUACAACCCAAUUCAGGGCGUUGCUCGCGUUGGGAACUAGAAUCAACGGUCGUGAAGCCCACCCGUGAGAUUCCACUGACGGCCACUGUUUGGCCUCCUUCCACCCCUACUGCAGUUUAGUAGUACGGGGAAUACUGGACCCGAUGUGUGCAUGAUGUUACCGGCCAUGUUGCCCGUCACUUCGGCGCUCCACCUUGGUUAGGAUUUUUCGGCCAGAGUCAAGCCUAACGUCCGACGUUGAGCGGACGUACUUCAGCCUUAACGAUCAUUAGCGCCUAGUCGUACGGCGCCACUUAUGCAAGGGCCCAGAACAUGUGUGGCGGGCAGUGUGGUGCUCUCAAAUAUUGUGGGCUUCA